CCCUCUCCCACGAUGAGUGGUCCAAUGUCCGCCUCUCGCGGGCGUCCAUGAAGGCAGCGCCGGUCCAUUCUGAGUGAUCGCGUCUCCCCGGGGAGACUCAACCGAGAGAUGAACUAGGACAAGCGGAUCAUGGCGGCGCCUCUGGACCGGGACUCCCUGCCCGAACACUGGACGUACGGCGUGUGCGGGGACGGGAGGGUCUUCUUCAUCAACGACCGUACGCGGGAAACCACCUGGCUGCACCCCCGCUCCGCCGAGCCGGUCAACUCGGGACAUAUGAUCCGCUCAGACCUGCCCAAAGGAUGGGAGGAAGGCUUCACGGACGAAGGAGCGAGCUACUUUAUCGAUCAUAACCAGAGAAGCACCACCUUUCGUCAUCCCGUAACCGGGCAGGUUUCUCCAGAGAGCGUGGAUUUUAUCCUUCAAGAACAACUGCCAGGUCCUCGCGUGAUGCCCCAACCCGGCAUCGAGCAGCUCUCCAGCACCACCGUCAGCGAGGUCUCCACCCUCACCACCUCCUCCACUGUGGAUGCCGCCUCCACCUCCAAGGUCACUGGUUCUCGCGCUGGCGGCAGCAGGGUGCACAGUUUCGGCAAGCGAGACCAGGCCAUCAAGAGGAACCCCAAUGUGCCUGUUGUGGUCCGAGGAUGGUUGUACAAACAGGACAGCUCCGGCAUGCGUCUUUGGAAGAGGAAGUGGUUUGUCUUGGCCGAUUUCUGUCUCUUCUACUAUAAAGACAGCAGAGAGGAGGCGGUCCUCGGCAGCAUUCCACUUCCCAGCUAUGUCAUUUCACCCGUGGGACCCGAGGAUCACAUCAACCGAAAGUAUGCCUUCAAGGCCGGCCACACUGGAACAUGCUCGUACGUUUACAAACGCAGCUCUGUAAUUGGCUCUCAGGCAGAGCACACGGGCAUGCGGACAUACUACUUCAGCGCCGACACGCAGGAGGACAUGAACACCUGGCUGAGGGCCAUGAACCAGGCUGCCAAUUUGAGCGGUCCCGUCAACACCGGCAUCAGAGCAUCUGACCAGUCAGAUCACUUCCCCAUGAUGCGUCAUCAGACUGUCACACACACCAAUCAUAUCAACCACAAGGCUCCUGAACCCCAGCGACCCACCGUCCACGAGGUUCUCCUGGAGCCCAUACAUCUCAACCAAGACGACCGCUGCAGCUUCCACAAAGACUCUCCCGUCGCCGUGGAGAUGGACACCCACGCCUCCCUGCCCGCCAACCCCACGGCCGCCGCCCUCCUGCCGCCGGGCCAGGCGUCCUCAUCAGCGCCCGUGUCCAGGGUGCCGUCUCGAGCGCCCUCACGGUCUGCCUCCACGCUGCCUUCGGGCGUUGGUGCAAGAAACGGCCUGGCGGAGACGCCGAGCCCCAUCUUGGAGCCUAACGGAAUCGCGGCGGGGACGUACCAAAGGGCCCCGGAAGCCCCUCAGGAGAUGAGGAGGAGGAGUACUCUGGAGCAGGUGGAGCAGUGGGUCAAGGUGCAGAAAGCUGAACACAAAGGUCCUCCAACCCGAGAAAACACACUCCCCCGUCGAACGCCGCCCUCCCAACCCAAGUUUGGCACCCUGGACACACACCAGACCCUGCCAAAGACGCCCCGCCACAGCCCCCCGCUGGCACGCCACAGCGAGUACAAGUACGCCCAGGACCGCCUGAGCCACUUCCGCCUCACCCCUGAGCUUGGCGGCCCUAGUUCCAACACCGUCCUGCAGCUGUACGAGUGGCAGCAGCGGCAGCAGUACCGUCACGGUAGCCCCACUGCGCCCCUCUACACACCGGCCCCGGACUACCCUUUUGGCGCCAGGCCGCCGGCCGCCAAGCACAGUGGGCCGCCACGUUGCGUGUCUGUACCGCCUUCGCCCGCCGACAUCCCGCCUCCAGGGCCUCCGCCGGGCACCAGCAGGACCUUGUCGCCCGCCCGCCGCCCGCACACGCCGGCUGACCGUGUGACAGUGAGACCCAUAGUUGAUGCGUCGGUGGUGGACACCCCCUUUGCCAUUUCACCUCGCAGGACCAAGUCUCAAGUCUUCAAGCCAUCCACCAUCGAGAGGCGCUCGCUGCCUCCGUCCAACUACAUCACGCACACGGUCAGCGCGCCAAGCCUCCACGGCAAAACGGUGGACGACACGUACAAGCAGCUGAAGCAGGACCUGGACUAUCUGGACCUGAAGGUGGCUGGAAGUAAAAUGCUAAAGGAGUCGGGGAUGCCCGUUAAGGUCGCUGAGAGCGAUGUGGAUGUGAAACUGAGUCGGUUGUGCGAGCAAAACAAGAUCCUGAAAGAUUUGGAAAUGCGGAUCAGCGCACUGAAGCAGGAUAAGGACAAGCUGGAGAGCGUGCUGGACGUGUGCCACCAGCAGAUGGAGCUGUUUCAUGAGCAGCCCGCCCAUGUGCACAAGAUCGCCUACCAGCAGAGACUGCUGCAGGAAGACCUGGUCUCCAUCAGGGCCCAGAUAUCCCGACUCUCCACGGAAAUGACGCACGCUUGGGAGGAGUAUGGUUGGCUGGAGAGUUCGGUGGAGCAGCUGAGGGCAGUGAUGCAAGCUCGCAUGAAUCUCAGUGCCACCUUGCAGCAAGAAAAGGCUGAGUUGAAGCGUGAGCUGUGGAGGAUCGAGGACGUGAUGGCGGGACUCAGUGGCAGCAAAGCCAACUACAAAGUCACCAUCGACUCUGUGCAGAACCCAGAGAGGAAGUUAGUGCCUUCCGUGUCGGAGCCCAGCGUGCCUUCUUCCAGCGCCGACGUCCAGCCGCCUCCCCGUAGCUGCGUCCCAAGCGUCUUCUCGCAAACGUUGCCUCCCAACUUUGUGUCAAAGUGGGGAGAGGACGGUGCUCCGCCCCGGCCGCCGCUCCCUCACCUGUACGACUACGAGGAGACGGCGCCCACCGUGCCGCCGCUGCCCAAGGAGGCGUCGGCGGUCAUCCGCCACACGUCGGUGCGAGGCCUCAAGCGGCAGUCUGACGAGAAGAAGAGAGACCGGGAAGGCGGACACUACGUCUUCAAUGGAGACUGUAAGACUGAUUUGCGUUCGUUCCUGAGCGAACCCGAGCUGCCAGCCAUCACUCAACACAACGCCGACACAGACUUCUACUAUCCUGACCAUAAGGGUCGGUCGGGCGCGUCAUGGCGGACGGCGAACCAGUCGGACGCCGUGUCGUCAUUCGUCACGCUGAGGAGAUACCCCGGCACCGCCGUGGACAGGCAGGAGCGACCCAAGAGUGCCUUGGAGUGUUUGUCCUCCGAGUACCUGGGCGGCGCGCCCCCUCCCCACCGCGGUGGCCGAAUGAGCGCCGAGGAGCAGCUGGAGCGCAUGAAGCGUCACCAGAGGGCGCUGGUACGCGAGCGCAAGCGGAAUCUCAGCCAGGGCGAGCGCACGAGCGCCCCGCCGCCCGCCUCCGUACGUUACCUUCACCCCACGGCUGUGACGGCCACCGCCCCUGCGCCUUCCCGCAGAAGCCAGCCGCAUAAUAACCUAGCAGGGAUGCUAACGCGCUAGUCGCAUGAGCUAACGAGCUGCGAGCUAGCGUGGUUAAUGCUUUAAGAACAAAAAGUACGGGAGGGGCUCAAAAUGAGCGCCUUGUUGGACCUCACUGAGACGCUGAUUGUGAAAGCCAAGGCAUUUAUUUAUCUACUGAGGGUUAUUUUCAAUAUACAGCUGUACAUAUAUAUAUAUAUAUAUAUAUAUAUAUAUAUAUAUAUAUAUAUAUAUAUAUAUAUAUAUUAAAAAAAUAUGAAUAUAUUUUGUAGAGAUUUGGUAUAUAUAGAUCAUCUAGAGGCCAUAGCUGGUAUGUUUUCAGGUUGGACACAAAAUAAUGCUGGUGGUUCAAGAUUAGACCAUGCGCCGCGUUCUUUUCGACAAACUCUUAAGUGCCUUGUUUCGAGCCAUCCGUUUUUGCCUUUGCCCCAAAAUUUUCAUUGAUUUUGGUCAUCACUUAUUUUAUCUUUUUAAGAUGUGUAAGUUUACGGCAAGCUGAGUUCCUCUUUCGGUUGGACACACAGAGACUUGCUAGCGUGCAUCAAAUGGACUUUUCUACUAGAUUAUCAAAGCAACGAUGUCCUGGCAUAGCCGCCAUAUAAAUUUGAGAAAAUGCUGCUUUUUUGGCUAGAGCAUCAAAGGUUAGACUAAAGCAAUUAAGUUCGUAUAGUGAGUGAUGCUAGAAAUGGUAUGACUGAGAAACGUCAGAGUUGAAUCAAAGCAACAAUGUCCCGGCAUGCACUCAAAGCGCUUAGUUGUCCCAUCAGAUUGUGCCGAUGUCGUCCCGAGUCAACUGGCGACAAUAUCUCGGUAUUCACGCCGGGGAAUUUCUCAUUUUAAUGGCUGCCUUCAACAACAUUAAAAGCAAGAUCAUUGGUUUUUCCCAAAAAGUCGUGAUGUUACGAGAAAAAAGUCAUAAUUAUAUUGAUUAAAGUCAUAAUAUUAUUAGAAAGAAGUUGAAAUGUUCCGAGAAAAAUUGUUGGAAUCGUUUAAAAAAUAAAAUUGUAAUUUAACGUAAAUAAAACCAAAUUUUAUGAAAACGUUUUUAAAUGUUAGGUCAGUGCUAAUAAUUUAUCCAAAACAUAAUCAUUUUCAGGCGGCACGGUGGCCGACUGGUUAGAGCGUCAGCCUCACGGUUCUGCGGACCCGGGUUCAAUCCCCGACCCCGCCUGUGUGGCGUUUGCAUGUUCUCCCCGUGCCUGCGUGGGUUUUCUCCGGUCACUCCGGUUUCCUCCCACAUCCCAAAAACAUGCAUUAAUUGGAGACUCUAAAUUGCCCGUAGGUGUGACUGUGAGUGCGAAUGGUUGUUUGUUUCUAUGUGCCCUGCGAUUGGCUGGCAACCAGUUCAGGGUGUGCCCCGCCUCCUGCCCGAUGACAGCUGGGAUAGGCUCCAGCAUGCCCGCGACCCUAGAGAAUAGAAGCGGCUCAGAAAAUGAAUGAGUGAAUGAAUAAUCAUUUUCAAAUGUGAGAUGUCCCGGCAAGGCCUCAAAGUGCUACUUGUAUAUAUAUCGGGUUGUGGCGAUGUUGUCCCUCGCCAAUGGCGAUAUUUCAGCAUUCACACCUGAGAAUUCCUCAUUUCAGAGACGAUUUAAAAAAAAAAAAAAAAAAAAAAAAUGCUAAGACAAACUGACUUUAUUCAUGAUCACGCAUUUUUAUUGCACUAAAUAACAUUGCUUACCAUAUUUACAUUCAAACAACAAAAUGUUUGUCUUGAAUUACUUGACAGCCCAAACGUUAUUUUUUUGGUGAUUCAGUGCUCAUCGUCCAAUCAGAUUGCGCUGAUGUCGUCCCGAGCCACUAACGUCAAUAUCUCGUCCUAGUGAGGCGAUAAUGCUAAAAAUGCCAACAUACCUGCAUAACUUACAUUGAUUAUUAUCGUUUCCUUACCUUUCCAACGUAAAGGCUUACCGCUUUUCCCAAAAAAUGUGACUGACUACCAAAGCAACGACAAGCACUAAUGGUCUCAUCCAAUUCAUCCUUAGCCAAUUGCUACAAUAUCUCAGCAAUCAAGGCGGAAUGCUAAAAAUGCUAACAGGACUGCAUAUCUUCCGUUUACGUUCACGUUUUUAGUGAAGGAUGCUAAAAAUGCUAAUGUAACACUUCCAUUUUGACAAUAGCGCACUUACUGUAUACAUGGAAACAAAAUGAAGCAAAACUAGCAUUAGUUUACGAAUUGUUGUGUUGCGAUGAAUUUAUUAUUGAAUUUAUUUAUAACCGAUGUUCACAUUAAAGGCGAGAACAAAGCAAUGAUGUCCCGACAUGGCCUCAAAGCGCUAAUUGUCCAAUUAGAUCGCUCCGUAUCCUCCCACAUCUUCUAGGAAUGAAAAGAUGACUUUACGAUAGGUGCGACACGGCCACGCUGGGCCAUAUUUGUGCCGUUUGCAUCUGGGGACCGCUACGAUAUGCUGUGAUGGAUACAUUUCUGUUUUUUUUAGCACUUCUGUUCAGAAAAUUUGUGUUUUUAGUGAGGGAUGCUAAUAAUGCUAAUGACGACCACCCGCUAAAGAACAAUCGCACUUAGGUCCUUUUAAGUUCAUAAAAAUUGCAACCAAGUGAGCAAUAUUCGGUCACCUUCUGAGACGGUGAAGCUGAAAGCCUAUUUUUAGAUGUAGUCCACCAACAUUUAAAUAUGUUUAUGCCAUUUUUUAAAAAGGAAUUGAGCGCUAGCGAUGGAUUGUUGUUCAGGAGCCACGUUGGUUUGGAGCUAUGCUGAAAUGUCUUUGUGAAGAAAUGCAAUAAUACAAAUGAUAUAUAAUAAUAAUACAAAUGAUAUAUAAAAACAGUGUAUAUGAGAAAAGUUUUAACAAGGGAGUGGAUGACGGGUGGGCAACAAAAAGGGAAACCAGUUGUAAUGGACUCGAGGCUAUGUGCCGAAAGGUAUCCCACUGAGAUAAUUGGGAAUUUAGCAUGUUGUGUGUAUGGAAUAGUACUUGAGAUGUCAACACAGGCCAAAAAUGCCACCCGUCUUCAGUAUUGUUCAUUUAACAUUAGCGUUCACAUUUAGGGGCCGCACGCUUCCGAGGCUGCUAUAAAACGGUUGAUGUCAAAAGUGCGCACGAGGUUGCAUCACUGCUAAGUAGUGAAACCUUCAAAUGCUAUUUAUAAAUAUUGAGUAUUGGCUUUUAGAUAAGUCAAACUUCACAUUUCUAUUCAUAAUGCUAACAUGUAGCUACCUAGCACUGCGGUGCAUGAAUGUUGUAAUGUGAGCAAAAGUCGUAAUGUCAUAUUUUUCCGUUUAUAUAGGUGCAAUUGCAAAGGUAAAAUUUUACACAUUUUAAUAUGAGAAUAGUUACUGUACAUGAAUUAAGUUAGAACGUAAUGAGAUUAGUCAGUCUUAAUUUUAUAUGAAUAAAGUUCAAAUCAAAUUUCAAGUUGAAAUAUAAGUAGCAAUAUGAUGUUACGAAAGUUGAAAUAUUACAAGAAGUUAUCCUUAGGUGCAGAAAGUGUUAAUACUACGUCAAAAAAGUAAUGUCAAUGUUACCAGCAAAAAAGUCUUCAUUUCACAGCACUUAAAAUAUUACGGGGAAAAAGUUGAAAUAUUACAAGAAUUAAAUUAAUGAUUUUACGAGAACAAAAUUCCAAAUAUUAUGAGAAAAAAUACUUCAUGUUAUGAGAACCCAGUAACAAUGUUACAUCAAUAAAUUGAAAAUAUUAUGAGAAAAACAUUUGGUACGCGACCAGAAUUAAGUCAUAAUUUUACAUAAAAAAGUUGAAAUAUUACGUAACUAAAGUCAAACUAUUAUGAAAGAGAUGAUUGCGUAACUGAAGUUAAAAUAAUACAAGACAUAAGUCAUACAUUUAUGCAAGGUAAAGUCAAUCUUACACGACGGAAUAUGAAAAAAUUCUGUGAAAACAUUCGUAGUGUUACGAGAACCGAAUAACCUUAAAUGAGUAAAUGGAAAAUAAUUACGAGAACGAAUUUGAAAUGUUAUAUGAAUAAAGUCCAACUUUUCCAAGAAAUAUAGUGAGAAAUCACCCAUGCAACAGCGACUUUGCGCGAGCGGCUCAGAAGGCUUUGGGGCGCGGCCAUUUUAUUUGGGUCGACGCCCACUAGUGGUCGUCAGCUACCAAUUCCAGUUCUAUUCUACCAGACCAUUUUGGAUGAAACCAUGACUCGCAGUUAAUUAACUCGCGACAUGUUAUUUUUUUUCUGGAAAGUUGGGGAGGGGGGGGGCAUUCAGCUCAAGUAGAUGCCAAGUCGAGAUGUGCCCUGCAGCGCCACCUAACUGUCACUGAGAAGCAACUUUUUGGCACAAUGUUGACAUUCGCACUCCACAAUAAAGAGAGUUUUGCCUCCCAGGCAUGCCGAUUUCCUCGUCUGUCACGUGGGCUUUGGCCCAUGUGGGUCUGCAUGUGUUUCCCCCCCCUCGCUUUCUUUCUUUCUUUCUUUUUCUUUCUUUCUUUCCUUCUUUCUUUCUUUCUUUCUUUUUCCCGAACGCAAGCACAGAAGUGGCCAGCUGCUGCCGGCUGCACCCGGAGGACGCAUUGCAUGGCUUUGGAUGAUUACUCAUAAAAGUGUUUGAUUGGCGGGAGGAGCGUCCCGGGGCCGAAGGUGAAAGCGACAAAGGUCACAAGGAGGGACGAGGUCAGUGGGUGACGGCCA
RNA transcript from Phycodurus eques (leafy seadragon), 8083 nucleotides. It is a transcript of the gene named pleckstrin homology domain containing, family A member 7a, with no coding region annotated. The record is from RefSeq and is a predicted model, not a curated record. Lineage: Eukaryota; Metazoa; Chordata; Actinopteri; Syngnathiformes; Syngnathidae. The transcript has 24 exons.